GCUACUAUAGUUUAACAAAAACAUCGAACUGCAAAAUCGAAAAUGGAAAUGAACUUCCUAGUAGAU
This 66-nucleotide transfer RNA is filed under the name Sydaphera spengleriana. RNAcentral describes it as "tRNA-Cys". It matches the Rfam family "tRNA". From Rfam's summary of the family: Transfer RNA (tRNA) molecules are approximately 80 nucleotides in length. Their secondary structure includes four short double-helical elements and three loops (D, anti-codon, and T loops). The record is from RNAcentral. Lineage: Eukaryota; Metazoa; Mollusca; Gastropoda; Neogastropoda; Cancellariidae.